Molecule: ribosomal RNA, 447 nt
Filed under: uncultured bacterium
Lineage: Bacteria
Description: bacterial SSU rRNA
Rfam family: Bacterial small subunit ribosomal RNA
Source: RNAcentral
UCGGGAAUUUUGGGCAAUGGGCGAAAGCCUGACCCAGCAACGCCGCGUGAAGGAUGAAGUAUUUCGGUAUGUAAACUUCGAAAGAAUAGGAAGAAUAAAUGACGGUACUAUUUAUAAGGUCCGGCUAACUACGUGCCAGCAGCCGCGGUAAUACGUAGGGACCAAGCGUUGUUCGGAUUUACUGGGCGUAAAGGGCGCGUAGGCGGCAUGACAAGUCACUUGUGAAAUCUCCGGGCUUAACUCGGAACGGCCAAGUGAUACUGUCACGCUAGAGUAUUGGAGGGGCAAUCGGAAUUCUUGGUGUAGCGGUGAAAUGCGUAGAUAUCAAGAGGAACACCUGAGGUGAAGACGGGUUGCUGGCCAAAUACUGACGCUGAGGCGCGAAAGCCAGGGGAGCAAACGGGAUUAGAUACCCAUGUAGUCCCUGAGCGGGCUGGCAAGGCGCAU